Molecule: long non-coding RNA, 330 nt
Organism: Gallus gallus (chicken)
Lineage: Eukaryota; Metazoa; Chordata; Aves; Galliformes; Phasianidae
Source: Ensembl
CUCACAAACGUUUUCUUUUCAUGCUGAAGUUUAUUUAAUGGAUCAGUAAUUCCUCAGUUCUUUCUUUUGCUCCUUCUUUUUUUUAAGUUUCACUUCACAAUACAAGAACAACCUGAAAGGAGGUUGUAGCAAGGUGGGAGGCGGCCUCUUCUCCCAGGAGACCCAUCGGACGGCUCGUACAGCUAUUUUUACUUUCUAAUAAAGAGAGGAUGUCACAUGAAUUGCCAGGAAAGCAAAUAUAUUCUUGAUGCUUUAACCUUGUUUAAGUUACUUAAUUUGCAUUCAAAAUUUAAAGAACCAGCCUCAAUCCAUGAAACGACCAGAGUGUAU